Dermochelys coriacea (leatherback sea turtle) is the source of this 341-nucleotide long non-coding RNA. RefSeq lists it as uncharacterized. NCBI's taxonomy places the organism in Eukaryota, Metazoa, Chordata, Testudines, Dermochelyidae. The transcript has 3 exons. The record is from RefSeq and is a predicted model, not a curated record.
AGGCUAUGUCUACACUGCAGAUUUUUGUCACCAAAAGUUAUGCCACUGUAAUUAAAGAGCUUUAAUUAAACUGCUGUGGCAUGUCCACACUAUACUCCUUGUGUCAGCAGAGUGCACCCACACUAGCAGAUCUUGCACUGACACAGAGAGCAGUGCACUGUGGGUAGCUAUCCCACUGUGCAACUGGCCACAGGGUACUUUGGGAAGGAUUUUCAAUGCCUCAUGGAGCAGGUACAGCAUCAUAUGAUGCAGGUUUCUCAAUUCUAUCGUUCCAUGGGCAUCCUACUAGAUUUCCAGCUGUUUUUCAACUGAAAUGUGUGGAGAGAAGCAUGUGAGGGGGA